RNAcentral lists this small RNA (625 nucleotides) under uncultured fungus. RNAcentral's name for it is "eukaryotic LSU rRNA". The stretch from base 229 to 382 matches the Rfam family "5.8S ribosomal RNA". Lineage: Eukaryota; Fungi. The record is from RNAcentral.
GCGGAGGAUCAUUAUCAGAAAAUUUCAUUAUUUUUUGAAAUAUUUUUCCAAUUUCCCCCUGUGUAUUGUACUCCAUGUUGCUUCCACUAGACUGGUAUUUAAAAUAUACCCUUCAACCCACUAAUACUUUGGAGGAUUGAAGUAAUGCCGGUGGAUAGCCUUAAACUAAAUGAAGUUUUUUUGUUUUAAAUAAUAGUCUGAUAAAAGUUAAAAAAAAAUAAUAAUAAAAACUUUCAACAACGGAUCUCUAGGCUCUUGCAUCGAUGAAGAACGCAGUGAAAUGUGAUAAGUAAUGUGAAUUGCAGAAUCUCGUGAAUCAUCGAAUCUUUGAACGCACAUUGCGCCCAAUGGUAUUCCACUGGGCAUACCUGUUUGAGUGUCAGAAUCCUUCUAAUAAUCAAACUUUUAUAUAUUCAUAUAAAGAUGUUUGGAUGUUAAUUGAGAAGAGUAGUAUUUUGUUAAUAAUACUACUUUCUUAAAAACCAGAAAUAUUUUGUUUUGGUUUUCUUCCCAACUCAUUUUAUAUUUAAUAUAGUAAAUGAGUGUGACUUUAACAAGGAACAAUAACACUUUUGGAUGACCUCAAAUCAGGUAGGGAUACCCGCUGAACUUAAGCAUAUCAAUA